Molecule: non-coding RNA, 4633 nt
Organism: Monodelphis domestica (gray short-tailed opossum)
Lineage: Eukaryota; Metazoa; Chordata; Mammalia; Didelphimorphia; Didelphidae
Source: RefSeq, a predicted model, not a curated record
UUUGAAUCUUGGUCUUCCUCACACAUACAGGUAGUCUCUCCUUGGGCCAGUCAGCUACAUCACCUCUCCAUAUCCCCCUGGAGACUAUAUUGUGUACCUCUUGGGAAUGUGAAGUUCAAAUGAGAGAAAAUUUUAAAGUGCUUUACUUCUCCAACAGACCCAGCAGCCUUCUCACCCUGGGAGAGUCUUCUCAAAUUGAGACUUCCUUCUCUCAUUGGUCAAACAAACUACAGCUAGACUGGGCUGCCAACACCCUACAGUUGGAGGUCAAAAUAAUUAACGUAACAAGAUUCUGUACAGCUUGGUUGCACUCAGUGGUCAGAGGAAGAAGGAAAAAAAAUGAAUUCUAGCCAGGGUGUAAAAACCAAGCCUAUGAGAGAUGUUGCUUAAAAUCCAGGGGCUAGAACUGCUAAAAGACCUCUCCAUGAUGACCAAGAAGACAGUGAUUUUUACAAGAAAAGAUGAAAGGAAUGCAAUAAAGGAAGACAGAAAAUGAGAAAUAUUGUGGUAUUCAAUGAAAAUAUGCAAAGAGAGAGAAGAACCUACCAAAAAAGGUCCUGUCUAAUGAGAAAUGAUGAUUGGGUGGGAAUAGCUAAGAGAAACAAGAUGAAAAGGAGAAGAGGAAAAUAUGGGCUCACUACCAGGAGAGUUCUGAAAGGAACAAUGAAUUACACUGUGAGGCAGCCUGCCAUAAGAAGUAGUGGGAGGAAUGUUCAUCUAAGGUUUUUAAAAUCAGGUUGGACCAUGAACUAGAGAGUCAACUGUAAGGGAAAUCCUGUUCAGGCUCAGCAAAGGCCGGCAAGGAGCCACAGGCUUUUGUGGCUGCUUCCUACGGCCAAGUCCUAAUUCCCCCGAAUUCUACUGCCCGGGGUUUUUGAAGAAUCAAAGAGUUUCUUGGAUGCAAUUGUACUACUUGUCUAUAAGGCUUCUUCCUCUGGGAAUAUCCCUCCCCUUCAUGAAUGGGAUACGAGUUUCCAGGUCUCUUAGGGGCUUCCCAGGACAGUCACCAGAAUGAGAGUCGGAAAAAUUUAAGAUUAAAUUUGGCUUCGGAGCCUAGCUGUGUGACACUGGCAAGUCAUUUUAACUCAAUUUUCCUCAGUUUCCUCAUCUGUAAAAUGAGCUAGAAAAGGAAAUGGCAAACCAUGCAGUAUCUUUGCCAAGAAAACCUCAAAUGGGAACAUGGAGAGUUGGACACAAAGGAAAAAUGACUGAAUAACAACAAAGAGCCAUGGGCACCUCUCCGUACACAGGGUCAGACCAGUGAGUACGCUGACCCAUUUGGUCAGAAUCAGAUAUUUCUGGAAAAAGCCAACUCUUCCACAGCUUCCUUCCUGUUGACUGAAUAACUGAGUUUGUCAGCCUCAAACAUUUGCUAGCUCUGUGAUCCUGGGCAAGUCACUUAACCUCCUUUGCCUAGCCUAGAGUUAUUACUAAGACAGAAAGGAAGGGUUUUAAAAAAAGAGUUGAAGGAGCAUUGUUUGUCUCUGGCCCCUGAGUUUUUGACUACUGUGGAUUAAUUCUAAUAUUUCAUUUUGUUUUGAGACUUAUUAGCAAUAUUGGCCAUGCUCUGGGGACCACAGGAUCUUAAUCCUUGACUUUCAGACAGUCUUACAUUUAGCAAAUAUCUUGAAGACCAUCAGAACUCCGAAUGUUUUAAGGAGUUUGGAGUUUUGGGGGCAAAAGACAGUGCUGAGUCAUCCCAUAGUCACACCAGGCAUAUGCCCAGGGCUUUCCAAAGUUAGCAAAAAUGAAGACGUUAAUGAGCAAAAGUUCUGCUAUAAGGUAUAAGUCUUUCUUUUUUUUUAUCUUUCCUAAAUCCUUAUCAUUUGUCUUGGAAUCAAAACUAAGUAUCAGUUCUAAGACAGAAGAACAGUAAGGGCUAGGAAAUGGGAGUAAAGUGACUUGCCCAGGGUCACACCACUAGGAGGUAUCUGAGGCCAGAUUCAAAGCCCAGACUUCCAAUUUCCCAGCCUGGCUCUAAAUCCUCUGAACCCCUCCAGCUGCCCCUAAAUGGUAUAGAUUUCAAACUGUUUGCUUACCUGUUGUCUCUAGAUUAAGGAAUGCAGUAGUUGCACAAAAGGUAUUUUUUAAACUCUUAUUAUAUGUCAGGCACUAUACCAAAUAAGAUGAAAAAAAGAAAGAAAGAAAGAGAGAAAGAGAGAAAGAAAGAGAGAAAGAGAGAAAGAAAGAAAGAAAGAAAGAAAGAAAGAAAGAAAGAAAGAAAGAAAGAAAGAAAGAAAGAAAGAAAGAAAGAAAGAAAGAAAGAAAGAAAGAAAGAAAGAAAGAAAGAAAGAAAGAAAGAAAGAAAGAAAGAAAGAAAGAAAGAAAGAAAGAAAGAAAGAAGUUUAAAAAAAAAACCUAGUCCUUAGGGCAGCUAGUAGCACAGUGGAUAAAAUGUCAGGCCUGGAAUUGGGAAGACUUGGGUUUCAAUCUAGCUUCAUAUUCUUCCUAGCUGUGUGACCCUGGGCAGGUCACUUAACACCAAAUGCCUAAGUACUUGAUGCUCUUCUGUCUUAGAACUAAGACAGAAAGUAAGAGUUAAAAAAAAGCAAACCCUAGUCCUUUCUUUCAAGGACCUUGGGUCCUAAUGGGGAAGACAACCUAUAAACAAUUAGAUACAUAUAGAAAGAGUAUGUGGAAGUUAAUAUGAUGAGGGACGACACCAAUACUUGUGCAAAUUGAUUAAAUUCUCUUGUAGAAAGUGGAAUUUGAAUGGAAUCUUAAAGAAAACCAGGAAAAGUGAGAAAAGCCAGGGAAGCAGGGGAUAGAUGUAUAUGAGAACAAGGAGGCCAGUGUAGAUGGAUCAUAGAGUUUUUGACAGAAAGAAAGGUAUAAAGAAAGGAAGGAAACAGGUUAUGAAGAGGACCCUACAGGGGAACAGAUGACCUCUGGGAAAACUUUUGACUUGGAGACUGUGGUUGUUUGGAUCAACUGGGGUUAUUUAGUUAUUUAGUUAGUAUAGGAGGCAAUUUUUCUACUUGGAAAAAAAAAUGACUUCGUCUUGACUUUGUCAAGUUUUUUCAUUUCAUUUAAUAAUCAUCAAAUUUCUUUAGCAUCCUUUUUUGAGUUCCACAUCUGAUACAAUGGAACAAUAAAGCCAACUAACACAGGAACCUAAUCUGAAAGUAUACUAAAUUAUCAUGUGUUAUUAUUUUCAUUAUUAUUAAUAUUGCUAACAUCUGUGUCAACUUUAAGGAUGGCAAAGUUCUUUGCAUCCAUUAUCUCACUUGAGUCUGUAAGUCACAUUAAUGCCUUUGGAAUCUGUUGGUUUGGAAGCAUGCUUUUGUUGAAUUAGUCAUCCCUCCCAUCUCUUCAAAGAAGAGAGCUUUUCUUAACCUAAAGUUGCUGCUGUUGUUCAGUCAUUUUCUUUGUGUCCAACUCUUUGUAACCCUCUUUGGGGUUUACUUUGCAAAGAUGCUAGAAGAGUUUACCAUUUCCUCUUUCAGCUCAUUUUAUAGAUGAGGAAGUCGAGGGCAAAAGAGUUAAGGGAUUUUCCCAGUCACAUCACUAGUAAUUUUCUGAAGCCAGAUUUGAACUCAGGAAGAGGAGUUUUCCUGACUCCAGGCCUGGCACUCUCUCCACUGUGCCCUCUAGCUGCCCCAAUAAACAAAAGUUCAAAGCAACCAAAAGUUCACAGUUGAACUGAGAGGGCACACUUCAUUUUUCUUCCAAUCCAGUUCUCAGACACUGGGACAUGGCUGCUGACUGAUCCAUUAAACAGAGGGAAUAAAGUCCCUGGCAAACCCCGAAGAGAAAGAUGUAAUCUCAGCUUCCGAGGCUUUGCAAACUAAGCCUCCCUACCAUGCUUAGCCAUCAGAAUUUGGAUGACAAGUACAAGAAAAUCACCAACAUUCCCCGUGCCAAAAGCUAAAAGUGCAGUUUACAAAAGUGAAACUGAGUGAUGAUUUUUGAUUAAUCACUUGAGAGAUAGUGGUGCCUGAUUUGUAGAUUUGUAGAUAUUAAGUCCAUGCAUACAAAAACAGAAAUCACAACCUGGUUCUAAUGGGGGUUACUUCCUUGCUUGAUCAAAAGGACUAGGGUACUACCAAAUGCUCCAGAGGAUUGUGUAAAAUGCUUUGACCAAAUCAAGUGCUAGAAGGGGCCACCUCCUAUCACCUCCAAAAGAAGCUGAUCUUUUCUCCAAAUUUUGGAUGACUAACCCUACAAAGGCUUUCUUUCAAAUUUGCAAAGUCUACAAGGACCAAUGUAGUUCACAGGCUUCUGUUACAUAAUGGAUGCAAAGUACCUGGGCAACCCUAAAAUUAUUGUUGAUGUCAGUAAUAAUAAUAAUGACCAUAAUAAUAUAAUAAUUACUAUGACUACCAUAGGACAAGAGAUCUAUAAGUAGUAUCCUUUGUGUUUCUGGGAAUAAGGAGCAAAAAAUCAACCAACAAGCAUUUAUUAUGUAAUGUGCCAAAAUCUGUGUUGGGUAUUGAGUAUGUCAAAGACAAAAAUGAAAUAAAUAUUCCCUGCUCUUAAGGAGUUUCUAUUCUAACAUAACAUAUGAUGUGUUUCAUUUCCCUUUGAAUACAUCAAAGACUGAGAAAUUGAAGAUUAAGCUUUUGAUAUGUGCUUUAUCUCUUGAUGCUUUAGAACUCCAGGUUUUUAAAUAACAAAUUUCUCUUCAAUUUUU